RNAcentral lists this ribosomal RNA (858 nucleotides) under Limosilactobacillus fermentum. Its description in RNAcentral is "bacterial SSU rRNA". It matches the Rfam family "Bacterial small subunit ribosomal RNA", at positions 413 to 1265 of the family's 1533-position model. Lineage: Bacteria; Bacillati; Bacillota; Bacilli; Lactobacillales; Lactobacillaceae. The record is from RNAcentral.
GGGUUUCGGCUCGUAAAGCUCUGUUGUUAAAGAAGAACACGUAUGAGAGUAACUGUUCAUACGUUGACGGUAUUUAACCAGAAAGUCACGGCUAACUACGUGCCAGCAGCCGCGGUAAUACGUAGGUGGCAAGCGUUAUCCGGAUUUAUUGGGCGUAAAGAGAGUGCAGGCGGUUUUCUAAGUCUGAUGUGAAAGCCUUCGGCUUAACCGGAGAAGUGCAUCGGAAACUGGAUAACUUGAGUGCAGAAGAGGGUAGUGGAACUCCAUGUGUAGCGGUGGAAUGCGUAGAUAUAUGGAAGAACACCAGUGGCGAAGGCGGCUACCUGGUCUGCAACUGACGCUGAGACUCGAAAGCAUGGGUAGCGAACAGGAUUAGAUACCCUGGUAGUCCAUGCCGUAAACGAUGAGUGCUAGGUGUUGGAGGGUUUCCGCCCUUCAGUGCCGGAGCUAACGCAUUAAGCACUCCGCCUGGGGAGUACGACCGCAAGGUUGAAACUCAAAGGAAUUGACGGGGGCCCGCACAAGCGGUGGAGCAUGUGGUUUAAUUCGAAGCUACGCGAAGAACCUUACCAGGUCUUGACAUCUUGCGCCAACCCUAGAGAUAGGGCGUUUCCUUCGGGAACGCAAUGACAGGUGGUGCAUGGUCGUCGUCAGCUCGUGUCGUGAGAUGUUGGGUUAAGUCCCGCAACGAGCGCAACCCUUGUUACUAGUUGCCAGCAUUAAGUUGGGCACUCUAGUGAGACUGCCGGUGACAAACCGGAGGAAGGUGGGGACGACGUCAGAUCAUCAUGCCCCUUAUGACCUGGCUACACACGUGCUACAAUGGACGGUACAACGAGUCGCGAACUCGCGAGGGCA